CAUUUUCCCUUCUUAGAAAUUUUGGGUUCCUGGUGGCAUAAUUAAUGAUCAUAUUUUGGACUAAAUUUAGGCAUUCCGAUUUCAUCUACAGUUUCAUGUGUUUUGUGCUGUAAUUUGUUGUGUAUUCAAAGUCUGAAGUUUGGAAGGCCAAAACAUUUAUAUCAGGAAAUUUUGAGUGAAGAAAGAUUAAUUUUUAAAAAAACUUCAAAUGAGAAUUCUAGAAAUUGCAUGUCCGUAAAAAAUUCUAAGAGCUUGAGAACGUCGCAGAUUGUCAUUUAUAAUCAAUUUUCUCAUUCAAUUCUAUACUUACAUUUCGACUUUAUGAAUUUAAACUUUAAUAAUGGUAAUUUUGCACAAUUGGAAGUAAUACCCAUACAUCUAAUACAUUCAACAAAAAUAAUUGAAACAAACAUUAUUUACAUUAACAUUCAGAUGAAAUGUACGCGACUGAAAUAAUUCUCUGAUAAUAAUAGGACAAUUUGUGCCCCAGUCAGAAAUCCAAAUUAACCAAUGUGUGUUGACAUUGCAGUCGGAUUAUACAAGGUGAUACUUUUGAAGUCCCCAUAGGGUGCCCCUUGGAAAUUCCUUCCUGGCCUGUGUAUGGAGGAUGAGGAUAGCUGGGAGAUGACGCUUUCCUGCCUCGUUAUAUUUGUCUUCCUGUCCCCACACCACAGCCUCUUAGAUCGCAUCAACUUCAAUGGACGAUCAACAAUCCCAGCAUUCAUUAGUCCACACUGCCGUUAUUAUAACAUACUCCAAUGUGUAUGCCCUACAGACCUCUUAAACAGCAUAAUAGUUGAGUAUUCCAGGUCAUAGCCUAGUAGCAUGGUGGUAGACAGUCAGACUGGUACCCCUGACCCAGACUGUUGUAGUGAAGGUCACUGCCCAGAGAGAGGCUGUCGUACUGGUUCCAGUAAGGCGACUGGUCCGGAUACGUCCGUGGACCGUUGUCAUGGUAACUAUAGCUGUACACAGACUGGUACUCCGCGGUGAAGCGGUAUUUCUCUGAGCUGUAUGAUUCCUUCAUCAUGGAUGAAUUGGACCGAGUCAAAAAGGAAUAACUCAUCACCACCUGAAAUAUCAAAAGACCACUCAUAAUUCCUUUAAGGCUUUGAAUUAAAAAAAACACAAUAAAGAUUCUGUAAAUUUUGAUGCAUUUACAGUAAAUUUACAA
Molecule: long non-coding RNA, 1174 nt
Organism: Magallana angulata
Lineage: Eukaryota; Metazoa; Mollusca; Bivalvia; Ostreida; Ostreidae
Exons: 2
Source: RefSeq, a predicted model, not a curated record